Molecule: long non-coding RNA, 1349 nt
Filed under: Heterocephalus glaber (naked mole-rat)
Lineage: Eukaryota; Metazoa; Chordata; Mammalia; Rodentia; Bathyergidae
Description: lncRNA (ENSHGLG00000038218.1)
Source: RNAcentral
CUAUGUCAGGCCCAUUACUAACCAAAACGUCACAGGUGGUCAGUCCAUGGCUGUGCAGGUAUUUAUACUGUGGAUUUUUUUUUUCUUCUUGUGGUGGCAGGAAUUGAACCCACCGAGCCACAUUCCCAGCUACUUUUAAAUCUUUUUACUUUGAGACAGAAUCUUGCUGAGUUGCCCAGGCUGGCUUCAAACUUGCCAUCUUCCUGCCUCAGCUCUGUAUCGCAGGCCUUUAAACAUGCAAAUCACCGCCACACUCUAGCUGAGCACGGCCCCUGCCCCCCUGCCUCCCGUCCUCCAUGCUGCGUCCCCUUUGCACAGCCCACGACCCUUGGGUCACAGCGCUGCCCCACCUCAUCUCAGAGAGCCCUGGGGACUCUAUCACCCUCGGGACUCUAUCGCCCUCCCUGCCUCUCCCCUCCUGGUCCCCCGUGUGUCCUUCCAGCCCUUGCUACUUGGCAACACAAUAUCUUACUUUCUUCUUCAUAGUUUCUCUUCCUGGCUGGUGACUUGCUCACCAGUCCCUGCACCCAGAGCCCGCUGUACCAAGCCUGCUCCCUGAGGGGUCAGUGUUGUCAAGCCCGGGUCAGCCCUGGGGUACAAGCCCAGGCUGCCCUCGAACUCACCAAAAUCCUCCUGUCUCAGCCUUCUGAGUGCUGAGAUCACAGCAUCUUCCUACUGCAGAUGGGGAAAUGGAGGCAUGAAGAGAGGAAAGUCAAAGCGUGAGGUCACACAGCUCCACACUGGCAGUGCCAGGCUGUUUGCCACACUUUCCUUGGCCAGCACCAAAGGGCAGCAUCUUCUGCAGUGAGAAGCAGGAUCUGAAUCAUUGCCUCUUGGAAGUUGCAAAGCAUUCCUCAUCGAACUGCAGCACAAGAAACUGAAAACCGGAGUGCUGUGUAAUCCCAGCACUUGGGAGGCUGAGGCAGGAGGAUCGCCAUGCAUUCAAGGCCAACCUGGGCUACAUAAUGAACUCAAGGCCAGCCUGCACUGCAUGGCAAGACCUUGUCUAAUUAGUAAAUAAAUACAUAGAUAAAAAGUUGCAACCCAGCCAAAGCAGGGCUACGGACAAGUACUAGGGAAUCUCGGUCAUCAUGUUUUGUCUCUGAAAUGUCUGUGGCUGGGAUCUCCCUGCAUGGCCUGAGAUCUCUGCUGAGGCCCAGGCAGCAGAGCCUGGGGUUGGAGGAGGCUGUGAGCCCCAGAAGCCCCAACGAGAAGGGCGUUAGGCUGAACCCAAAGUUCCCCCCGAAGGGACCUGCGGCUCCUCUUAGGGCCCCCCGCCCUGCAAGUCCCCAGUGAGAGUCCAAGCCUGCAGCCCGGCCGGGAGUGCUGGGACAGGGCAGCCACCUGCC